UAGUCCACGCUGUAAACGAUGGAUACUAGGUGUAGGGGGUAUCGACCCCUUCUGUGCCGGAAUUAACACAAUAAGUAUCCCACCUGGGGAGUACGGCCGCAAGGCUGAAACUCAAAGGAAUUGACGGGGGCCCGCACAAGCAGUGGAGUAUGUGGUUUAAUUCGAAGCAACGCGAAGAACCUUACCAGGACUUGACAUCCCUUGACAACCCUAGAGAUAGGGCAUCCCUUCGGGGCAAGGUGACAGGUGGUGCAUGGUUGUCGUCAGCUCGUGUCGUGAGAUGUUGGGUUAAGUCCCGCAACGAGCGCAACCCCUAUUGUUAGUUGCCAGCAUUAAGUUGGGCACUCUAGCGAGACUGCCGGUGAUAAAUCGGAGGAAGGUGGGGAUGACGUCAAAUCAUCAUGCCCCUUAUGUCCUGGGCUACACACGUACUACAAUGGCGAUUACAACAGGAAGCGAAACCGCGAGGUGGAGCAAAUCCCCAAAGGUCGCCCCAGUUCGGAUUGCAGGCUGAAACUCG
This 520-nucleotide ribosomal RNA is filed under the name uncultured bacterium. RNAcentral's name for it is "bacterial SSU rRNA". It matches the Rfam family "Bacterial small subunit ribosomal RNA", at positions 791 to 1314 of the family's 1533-position model. The record is from RNAcentral.